UAAUUGCAUUGGUAUCUACUGUUAUAUUACUGUAGGCAGUAAUGUAUUAUUCCAGAGAGGUUGUGUUAAAAAAACUAAUAAUAAUAAUAAAAAAUUCAUUGAAACUAGAUGCAGACUAAAUAGAAAAUGCUUUAUUAUCAUUACUGUCAGGCUUCCCUCAUUCAGUGACUGGAGCUUUUACAAUAAUACCUUAAUAAGUAUAAAACUGCAGUGGAGUUUCUAAAUAGAGCAUAUUUGAAUGUUCUGUGUGCAUGUUACCUUUUCUAUAAGGUCAGCUUUUGGGAAACUCAGUAAUGUUCUUGAGCAUUCACUGAUUGCUUCACUUGAAUCCAAGGACACCCAGCAGUAAACAGCAGAGGACCCAGAGGAGAGCAAGCAAAGCUGAAUUAGGAGCAGUUUGAGCAUCUCCAGUUCCUGAAAGUUAUGGAUGCUCAAGACAUUCUGAAUUUAACUUAAUGAGAUUAGUCUUUUGCUUGAAUUCACUAAUCCGCAGUGACUACAAUAUAAAAUCUUGCAAUUCUGUUACAACAUACCACCUACUUGCUCUUUCUUGGCCUCACAAAUUGUUUCUCUGAGGGGCUGCUACGAAAGAAGAAUAUACUUUUAUACCAGGAACUACCAUUUAAGUUAUCUCCUUCCAUCCAUAAUGCUGUUUUACAGACUGAAAUAAGAAGAGCUGGUACUGUUAAAGGAGCUCUCUCAAUCCUUUUUACUGGUGUUUUCCUGGAAAAAAAAAGUCACAGUGUUUGUUUGUUUUACAGUAUAUUUUGUUUUAGUUUUACUUGUGUUCAGCAAAGAUUAUUGACACUGAAAAGUGAAAGCCUGAGAAGAAAUGGAGGAGCCCAGAAAAAAUACUGGAAAGAAAGAGAAAGAAGGAUUGAAAGAAAGUCAAGAGAGAAGUACGCUAAGAAGCUGAGAGACUAUUUCUGAAAGAAUUUCCCUGUUUUUUCCUGCUAAAUGACGUUUUAAAUAAGAGAGAAUUCAAGCUUCAGUUCCCAAAGAAGAGGGGCACCAAGAGAAUGGCCUGGUGGGAGCGCGUCUGUUAGCUGCGCCCAACUCACUGCAGCAUCAGAAACCGUUCACAGACACUCAGCCACUUCACUGGAAAGAAGUAGAUUGAACACAAGUAGCUUUGAGCUUUGCUCUUGUGAUUGAAGCCAGCUCACGUUUAGGUACCGCUGGACAAAACGGAACCGCGCGUCUCGAUAUCUGUCUCCCCUAGAGUAAGAAAUAGGUAGCAGUCCCUUAAUUCUUCUAACUUAGUUUAGAAUCAGUUAAUUAAUCAGUAGCUGUGACUAAUUACUCACUUCCAAUUAACCUGGAAACUGUUACAAAAUGAAGC
This 1342-nucleotide long non-coding RNA is filed under the name Gallus gallus (chicken). Its description in RNAcentral is "lncRNA (ENSGALG00010023634.1)". Lineage: Eukaryota; Metazoa; Chordata; Aves; Galliformes; Phasianidae. The record is from RNAcentral.